GUCCAGCUGAAGAGUCCCAAAUAGGACGAAACGUGCAUCCUUCAU
Non-coding RNA from Schistosoma haematobium, 45 nucleotides. Lineage: Eukaryota; Metazoa; Platyhelminthes; Trematoda; Strigeidida; Schistosomatidae. The record is from Rfam.